RNAcentral lists this transfer RNA (86 nucleotides) under Burkholderiaceae bacterium. RNAcentral describes it as "tRNA-Leu". It matches the Rfam family "tRNA". Rfam says of the family: Transfer RNA (tRNA) molecules are approximately 80 nucleotides in length. Their secondary structure includes four short double-helical elements and three loops (D, anti-codon, and T loops). Further hydrogen bonds mediate the characteristic L-shaped molecular structure. tRNAs have two regions of fundamental functional importance: the anti-codon, which is responsible for specific mRNA codon recognition, and the 3' end, to which the tRNAs corresponding amino acid is attached (by aminoacyl-tRNA synthetases). tRNAs cope with the degeneracy of the genetic code in two manners: having more than one tRNA (with a specific anti-codon) for a particular amino acid; and 'wobble' base-pairing, i.e. permitting non-standard base-pairing at the 3rd anti-codon position. The record is from RNAcentral. Lineage: Bacteria; Pseudomonadati; Pseudomonadota; Betaproteobacteria; Burkholderiales; Burkholderiaceae.
GCCCACGUGGCGGAAUUGGUAGACGCGCAUGGUUCAGGUCCAUGUGCCGUAAAGGUGUGGGGGUUCGAGUCCCUCCGUGGGCACCA